CAGUUAGGAGGAUAGACAAAGUAACAGGCUCACUCUAGAUAUCCAUGGGUGGAGUGGCCGGGCCUCAUCUGGAGUUGGUAUCUGGGAGAGCCGGGAGCGUUGUUACGAGCUGGUGUAGACCAGACAACCUGAAGACUGGUUGGAGUGGCAGAUGAAAGCCUCGGAGGCAACACGCCAUCUGGAGCUGUCGAAAAACACAGAUGAAUUAGAGCAGAGAAAACUGUGGAGAACAUAUGUUGGAUGGAAUCGAAAUGCUCCAUAUACUGGAAAAACUGUUCCUCAGGAUCAACAACAAUGUUAAACAUGGUCCAUUUAAUUUAACAUUUUCAUUCCUGAACUACUGUACUUCCUUAUUGUUCAUUUCAACACAAUUACGUUAGUAUUUCAACCUGAAAAGCCAGCCCCCAAACAGCAAGACAAAUGAACAUACAGCACAUCCCCACCUGUACUUCUGUUUAUCUAAUUGAAAACAUGUAGGGAACUUAGUGAACCAAAUAUUAAAGUAACUUUUUAAAUUAACUCUUUCCUCAGCAAUCAAGCAAUCAAACAGUGAAGGAGUCCAGAUCUUUUCUUUCUCUCAUCGAUUAUCACCCAUUGCCACUUAAUCCCGCUUCUACUCAUGAUCACAACUGGCUUUCUUUCUUUCUUUUUUUUUUUUUUUGGUGUUUUGAGGAUGGUUUAUUAAAAUUGUAUUUUUCUACAAUAUUAAGUACACACGGUUGGCUGAAAAUAGCACAUUGCAG
This 743-nucleotide long non-coding RNA is filed under the name Lynx pardinus (Iberian lynx). The record is from RNAcentral. Lineage: Eukaryota; Metazoa; Chordata; Mammalia; Carnivora; Felidae.